AAGAAAGUGGCAGAACGGUUAUGUGGUCGGCUUGAAACCGACCUAUGGGGGUUCGACUCCUCCCUUUCUCG
This 71-nucleotide transfer RNA is filed under the name Sebastes pinniger (canary rockfish). RNAcentral describes it as "tRNA-Ser". It matches the Rfam family "tRNA". From Rfam's summary of the family: Transfer RNA (tRNA) molecules are approximately 80 nucleotides in length. Their secondary structure includes four short double-helical elements and three loops (D, anti-codon, and T loops). Lineage: Eukaryota; Metazoa; Chordata; Actinopteri; Perciformes; Sebastidae. The record is from RNAcentral.